GCCGGGCGUGGUGGUGUGCGCCUGUAAUCCCAGCUACUCAGGAGGCCGAGGCAGGAUAAUCGCUUGAAUCCGGGAGGUGGAGGUUGCAGUGAGCCGAAAUUGCGCCACUGCACCCCAGCCUGGGUGACAGAGUGAGACUUUGUCUCAA
RNAcentral lists this non-coding RNA (148 nucleotides) under Nomascus leucogenys (northern white-cheeked gibbon). Lineage: Eukaryota; Metazoa; Chordata; Mammalia; Primates; Hylobatidae. The record is from Rfam by way of RNAcentral.